UCCCUCAUCAGACAGUUUCACUUUGGAGAUUUUCAGUGAAACGUCUCCAAACUCCAGUUUACUAAAUAACAUUGACGUUCUUCCUUUAUAAUCAGGAUGCUUUAAACUUUCCUGUUCUUCUUUCUCAGACCACACAUAGACAUAUGAAGGGUCUAGGCCUCCUCUGGACCACUCUAUGGACAUGUCUGAAGCAUCAACGGCAGGUUCCAGCCGACAUGACAAAAGAAUGUCACCACCAACCAUUGCCAGGACCGGCUGAGACGGACCAACCACCUGGGAAAGACCUGGAGAAAAGCAGAGAGCCGACAGAGGAGCACCCUGACCCUGAGAAAUGGCUCGGCUAUGAUGCUCCAGUAAAGAAGCCACGGCGGGCUUUGAAGAGGCUGUCAGAUAGGGGGGAGUGAGAUGUUGUUUAGCCUGACGUAAAGUUCCCAUGAUCCAUCCUGUGAUUACAUUUAAUGAUCAGUUAUGAACAAUUAACUGAAACCAUUUCUAAAAUUACAUUUUAAAUGUUAUUAAGAUGGUGGUUUUGAACACUGAUCAGUCUUAAUGUAGCUUACAUUAUUUCUGGAUACGUGUAAGACUUAAAGUUUGCAGCGUUGGUCAGUCUCAGUAUUUUAAUUCUUGCUAGUCUGUACUUGUCAUUAUGUGGACCUUAGCAACACUUUAUUUUAUAGAUUGUUCAUUCAGAAUCUUUACAAUAUAUAGAAUAAUCUUACCUGUUUGUAAAUAGUCAUUUUUAUUCAUUUUUACAGUGAAGAAUGAUUUUACCUGUUUGCAAAUAGUUAUCUGUAUAAACCUUUAGAAUAUGAAAUGUUCUUACCCAUUUCUGAAUUUUAAUUGUCAGAAAUCUUUACAAUAUAACUGUAAUAAAUCUUACAGUAUCUGACCUGUCUGUAAAUUGUUUGUUACUAACAAAUGUUAUCAAUGUGUUUAUGUUACAAAUACUUAUUUUUCAAACACUUACUGCUGAAAUGACUGAGUGUGGCCUUAAGUGUAGACAUCAACACAGAAAAAAGUACUGGAAUUUAUUUCUGAAGUGAAAGCUUGAUAUAAAGGAAAAAGUGCAUUUUUGUAGGAGGAAAAGAGAGUUUCUGCAGGAUGCUGGCUGGAUUGAAGCAGAGGUGAGUUUGGUAAGCAGACAGACAGAUAUGCAGUUGUCCUAGGGCUGAGGGAAAAAAGGCUGAGUGUCAGAAUACAUCAAUAAGAAAGCAAUGUUGUCUAAAAAAACAAGGAACCUAGGAACAAAACGAACAUGUUUUGCAUUUAUACACGUUUUGUAAAUACUGCCUUUUUAUUACAGUAAACAUUUCAUCCAAAAUUGUUGUAAACUACAUGACUGUUAGCAGUUUUGUCUCUGUAGUCUCGACCCACAUUUUGCACGUACUGCAUUUGAUAGAAACUGUUUUUUCCAUUUCAGCAUGCAGUUGUUCAGAAAUUAUACUUUAAUUCAUUGGAGACCACUUGCAGAAAUUACAACUUAACUAAUAUUUGGCAUUCAGCAGUUCGGCUCUGUCUUUUAAGAAACGCAUUCCAGCAACGUAUUCCUAAUACCAUUUCUAAUUAUUGACUAACUAUUUCCUGGACACAGAUUUCCCUGGGCAACACGGGGGUGCAGGUCAGCAAAAUCUGUUUCCGAAGACUAAACCGAACAAGAAUGUCCCCGUUCACACAGGACUUAGCUGUGCUCAUCUUUGGGCGGGACGUUUUGGCAUCCUCGACUCUCACAGGAAAAGCAGGGCCUACUGGAAGAGUGAAAGAGCAGCUAAAUCCGGAAAAGCUGAGUGUCCUUGUUGAUACAGUUAUUGCUGAAUUUCCAGGAACAAAUGUGUCUGAUGUGAGGCAGUGAUGCGGAGAAAAUGUGACAAUGAGAAUUUUGUGAGCAAAAAGAAACAGUAAGCAGUAACAUCAGGAACUGUUUGUAAUCGUUUUUCUUUGUUUUUUGGUGGACAUACAUUUUGAAAAACUGUGUCAAUGUUUCACAUGUAAAAGUUUCAAAAGUCAGUUUAAUGUUCAUCCCUGUCAUUACUAGCGUCAUUACUAGCAGGGUAGUGCUAGCACAGCUAUUGUUUCUUUUCCUUUUACUAUUGUCUUUUAGUUAACUUGUUAGAGUAUGACUAAAAAGAAUUCUCUGGGGUCAGAUGAUCCAAAUUUGAAUAAAAAUGUUACGAUGAAGAGAAACUGUUUGAAAAUGUUGUUUAAGACGUUUUUAAAGAUGUACUUAAAUGUACUUUAUUAUGCACAUGUCACCCAAUAAUGUCUCAGCUAAGGAGUAAAUGACAACGCCACUCUGGAAAGGCCCAGAGACUGUAAAGAGUUACUAAAACUAAACCUACACAGGUAAGUUCCACAAAGAAAACAGAGACGUGGUUUAUAAUUCUAUAAAGCAGGAAGGGCCAUCCUUCUUGCCAAUUUUAUUCAAAUGAUGUGGUUAGGGAGGAAAAAGGAAUAAACUUAAGGUCACUAGGCCUCCGUGAUUCCACAAUAGUAAGAGGAAUGGGAAGGUGAACAGAUCUAAAACAUACAAUAUGCAGAGGUGUCGCCAGUAUUUAAAACAA
This is a long non-coding RNA of Acanthochromis polyacanthus (spiny chromis), 2558 nucleotides long. RefSeq lists it as uncharacterized. The transcript has 4 exons. Lineage: Eukaryota; Metazoa; Chordata; Actinopteri; Pomacentridae. The record is from RefSeq and is a predicted model, not a curated record.